RNAcentral lists this ribosomal RNA (464 nucleotides) under Vreelandella stevensii. Its description in RNAcentral is "partial 16S ribosomal RNA". It matches the Rfam family "Bacterial small subunit ribosomal RNA", at positions 339 to 795 of the family's 1533-position model. The record is from RNAcentral. Lineage: Bacteria; Pseudomonadati; Pseudomonadota; Gammaproteobacteria; Oceanospirillales; Halomonadaceae.
CCUCGGGAGGCUGCAGUGGGGAAUAUUGGACAAUGGGCGAAAGCCUGAUCCAGCCAUGCCGCGUGUGUGAAGAAGGCCUUCGGGUUGUAAAGCACUUUCAGUGGGGAAGAAAGCCUUGGGGCUAAUACCCUCGAGGAAGGACAUCACCCACAGAAGAAGCACCGGCUAACUCCGUGCCAGCAGCCGCGGUAAUACGGAGGGUGCGAGCGUUAAUCGGAAUUACUGGGCGUAAAGCGCGCGUAGGCGGUCUGAUAAGCCGGUUGUGAAAGCCCCGGGCUCAACCUGGGAACGGCAUCCGGAACUGUCAGGCUAGAGUGCAGGAGAGGAAGGUAGAAUUCCCGGUGUAGCGGUGAAAUGCGUAGAGAUCGGGAGGAAUACCAGUGGCGAAGGCGGCCUUCUGGACUGACACUGACGCUGAGGUGCGAAAGCGUGGGUAGCAAACAGGAUUAGAUACCCGAGUAGUC